Molecule: ribosomal RNA, 497 nt
Filed under: uncultured bacterium
Lineage: Bacteria
Description: partial 16S ribosomal RNA
Rfam family: Bacterial small subunit ribosomal RNA
Source: RNAcentral
GACGAACGCUGGCGGCGUGCCUAAUACAUGCAAGUUGAGCGAUGAAGAUUGGUGCUUGCACCAAUUUGAAGAGCAGCGAACGGGUGAGUAACGCGUGGGGAAUCUGCCUUUGAGCGGGGGACAACAUUUGGAAACGAAUGCUAAUACCGCAUAACAACUUUAAACAUAAGUUUUAAGUUUGAAAGAUGCAAUUGCAUCACUCAAAGAUGAUCCCGCGUUGUAUUAGCUAGUUGGUGAGGUAAAGGCUCACCAAGGCGAUGAUACAUAGCCGACCUGAGAGGGUGAUCGGCCACAUUGGGACUGGGACACGGCCCAAACUCCUACGGGAGGCAGCAGUAGGGAAUCUUCGGCAAUGGACGAAAGUCUGACCGAGCAACGCCGCGUGAGUGAAGAAGGAUUUCGGAUCGUAAAACUCUGUUGGUAGAGAAGAACGUUGGUGAGAGUGGAAAGCUCAUCAAGUGACGGUAACUACCCAGAAAGGGACGGCUAACUACGUG